AACAUGAAUAUGAUGUAGGUUCAGAUCUAACGCUAUAUAGAGGCAUAACACAUGCGAAUAUAUAUAUAAUAUGAAUAUAAUUUAUUAUAUAAGUAUUAUAUUAUGUGUACAGGUGAGUAGUAAGGGCUAGAAAUAGCCUUAAUAGAUGUAGGUAUUAGUUUAUACUAGCCUUAGACCUAUACUCCGUGAUUGACGUCAUAAGGAGCACAUGGAAGAUACUUCCACUACUAUUAGUAGCAGCAGUGGGGAAUUAUUGACAAUGACCUAACGGUUGAUCAUGCUAUCUAUAUGAGAUUACUAAGAUAUAAAUAUUAUUUUAUAUAAUAUAAUUAAUACUUAGUAUAAUAUCUCAAUCUUAUAUAUAAUAAUGAUGUAUAUAAAGAUUUAGUUCUUACCAAGUGGUGUGCCAGCAGUAGCGGUCAUACACCCAGAGCGAGCGUUGAUCAUCCUUGGCAUAAAGGACCCGUAGGCUUAAGUAUAUACAUUAUAUAUAAUGUGUAUUUAAUAAGAUAGCCCGUCCUCCAGAGGAGGCCGGGCCAUCCUCGAUAGAAUCUAUUAGCUGGUAGUAUGUAACAUAUAUAUAGGGUUAAUAUACUAUGACAUAUAUUGGACAGCAUAGCGACUACUACUGAUAGAUUGACGCUGAGGGGUGAAAGCUACAAGAGCGACAUGGAUUCGGUACCCAUUUAGCUGUAGCCGUAAACUAUGUGUACUACGUAUAUGUAAGAUAGUUAUGGGUUUAUAAACCUAUAACUUUCAUUAUGGGUACGUUAAUACUUGAAGUACACCGCCAGACUAGUACGUCCUCACGGAUGAAAUGCAAUACAUUAGACGGUUAUAUACAGGUACAGUGGAUUAUGCUGUUUAAUUGGAUGAUACCCCUAACACCUUACCAAUUCUUGAAUAUAUACUCAUUACCUGAACGAGUAUAUACAGGCGUUACAUUGUUGUCGUCAGUUCAUGCCAAGUGGUAUUUUAUUUAGUUAUAUAAUGAACGCAACCCUCGACUAUUUAAGUAAGCCCGACCUAUGGUCGGGCCUACUAUAAUUAGUGAUGCAUAAUAGAUAUAUUAUGGGAAGUAGAGGCUGAAGACUAAUCCGCAUGACCCUUAUGAAUUGGGCUACAGGUGUAAUACGACUAUAUGAGUAAUUAAAUAUAUAUAUUAAAUCAAUAUAUUAAAUGAAAUCAUAUAAUCAUGAAAGCUAAUCGUUAACUGAAUUAUCUCCUGUAACUCGGAGAUAUGAAAGCGGAACUGUCAGUAAUCGUGAAUUAGUAUGUCACGGUGAAUAUUACAUAUAUUUCGCACUAAUCACUCAUCAAUAGCACAGAUAUUACCCAUAGAUGUUAAUAGUAAUAUAUAUUAACGUCUAUAUUGGUAUAUGAUAUGCUAUAAGUUGAAAUACAGUUCGGGUAUGGGAACAUGCUCGGGAUUUAUAAUAAUAUUAACAAAUAAAUAUUCUCA
This 1462-nucleotide ribosomal RNA is filed under the name Candida albicans. RNAcentral's name for it is "small subunit ribosomal RNA". It matches the Rfam family "Bacterial small subunit ribosomal RNA". The record is from RNAcentral. Lineage: Eukaryota; Fungi; Ascomycota; Pichiomycetes; Serinales; Debaryomycetaceae.